GGGGGCGACCUGGCUUCGACGGGGUUAGAGAAGCUCUGACUGCGUGCCGAGGGAUCCUGCUUCCUCGUAAAUCCGCGGGAAAACUUUCAAGCGACGAAACUAACACGUACGCUAUGGCUGCCUAGGGAAACCUACUCAGCCCGUUCGGAUCCGUUGAGCCUGCGCGGCGGGUCCGAAUGACAUCUAUUGCAGGCUGGCCCAAGCCCAUGCUCAGGGGGGGCGGGCGAGACUUUACUGAGCUGGUUCCGAUGCGUGGCCUUGUCGAUUGGCAGCGUAGCGGACGAGACUUUAAAGGUCGACUACGCACGUAGAGGUCUUGGUGGACUUGAUCUCGG
Molecule: transfer-messenger RNA, 335 nt
Filed under: Gemmatimonadota bacterium
Lineage: Bacteria; Pseudomonadati; Gemmatimonadota
Description: Gemmatimonadetes bacterium partial transfer-messenger RNA
Rfam family: transfer-messenger RNA
About the family: Bacterial tmRNA, also known as 10Sa RNA or SsrA, is named for its dual tRNA and mRNA-like properties.
Source: RNAcentral